UCGAGAAUCUUCCGCAAUGGGCGCAAGCCUGACGGAGCAAUGCCGCGUGCGGGAAGACGCCCUUCGGGGUGUAAACCGCUUUUUUUGGGGACGAAUCCGUGACGGUACCCAAAGAAUCAGCCACUGCUAAUCACGUGCCAGCAGCAGCGGUAAUACGUGAGUGGCGAGCGUUGUCCGGAUUGAUUGGGUGUAAAGCGCUCAAAGGCUGCUCGGUACGCCUCUGGUUAAAUCUACGGGCUCAACCCGUAGGCCGCUGGAGGUACGGCCGAGCUCGAGGGUGGGAGAGGUGAACGGAAUGGCCGGUGUAGUAGUAAAAUGCGUUAAUAUCGGCUAGAACACCAAUUGCGAAGGCAGUUCACUAGAACACCCCUGACGCUGCAAGAGCGAAAGCGUGGGUAGC
This 400-nucleotide ribosomal RNA is filed under the name uncultured bacterium. Its description in RNAcentral is "bacterial SSU rRNA". It matches the Rfam family "Bacterial small subunit ribosomal RNA", at positions 355 to 769 of the family's 1533-position model. The record is from RNAcentral.